RNAcentral lists this long non-coding RNA (1548 nucleotides) under Canis lupus familiaris (dog). RNAcentral describes it as "lncRNA (ENSCAFG00040009096.1)". Lineage: Eukaryota; Metazoa; Chordata; Mammalia; Carnivora; Canidae. The record is from RNAcentral.
GGAAAACACAAAAAAUUAAGCGGAUAGAGUGUAAAGUAAAAACACGGUAAUUCCAAACCCCAACAUCUCCAUUAGAAUAUUAAACAUAUAUAAACUAAAUGUUCCUGGUAACACUAAACUUUGCUUGAAUAUAUUCCGUUGGAAUUUUCCUAGAGUUGUAACUGAAACGUGAGGAUGAAAUUGGAAAAAAACUAAACAAAAAACAAAACCGUGUGUGAUAACCAAUUAAACAUGCUGCAUGGCAAAAAUAAAUAUGAUGUCGAAUAAUUUUUAACACUGAAGGAGUUGUCACUCUUCUUCAUAAUGUUGUUAAGUAUCUAAAUGUACUCCAUUCUAUCUCAUCAAUAACACAUAAUCAGUGUGUGCAUAUUUAUAUACACAUAUAAACAUAUACACACUACAUACAUGUAUGUAGCAAGACAUUCAUUGUUACUCACGAGAUAUAAAAGUAUUCAUCACAGAGGGUUGACAUCAUAAAGAUGGUGACAUAGGUAGAUCCCACUUCUGUACUUCUCAUAAUAAGCUCAACUAGCAACUAUACACAUAAGACAUCACUGGGCAAUUCUCAGGACUCAGGGGUGAUGCUGAACACCCCUGGACUACAAAGAUCAAUAGGGACAGCAUCAGAAGGUUAAGUGGAGUCGUUUCCCUAUGACCACAGUACACUUCUCCAUGGGCCAGCACAGUGCCCCACUGUGGGGACCACCUAGAACUAGGGUUCUUCUCCCAAGAAGAAAAGAGCCCAGAGUAGGUCAAUGACACCGUGGGCAUUGUGCCUUGGGGAGGAUGGCUUUUCCUGAAUGAGUCAUUAUCCUUCAGUGGAACCACUUUAAAAUUAUCCAAAAGCCUUCUUCAUCAUCAACAUCGACUCUGCCAGAUGACACCUUAAACCUAUGCCCAAAAUGUUUAAUCAUCCGUAUCCUCUCUCCACCCACUCCCACAUCUGCACCUGGAAAGAAGCUACUUAAGACAUUGCAGUGACCAAAGAGAGCUCCCGACCAGAACUUCCCCACCUUUCAAGAGUUGUCCAGGAUCACCUGGUUGGUAUGGUCGUCUGGGCAUCUGCCUUGAUCCCAGAAUCAUGGGAUCGAGCCCCACACUGAGCUCCCCACUCAUUGAGGAGUCUGCUUCUCCUUCUCCCUCUGCCCCUCCCCCGACUCCUGCAAGCUCUUGCAUGCUCUCUCUGUGUCCCUUUCUCAUAUAAAUGAAAUCCUUGGGAAGCCCGGGUGGCUCAGCGGUUUGGCGCCGCUUCGGCCCAGGGCCUGAUCCUGGAGACCCGGGUCCGAGUCUCCCUGCAUGGAGCCUGCUUCUCCCUCUGCCUGUGUCUCUGCUCUCUCUGUGUCUCUCAUGAAUAAAUAAAUAAAACCUUGAAAAAAAAUAAAUGAAAUCCUUAAAUUGUUCAUACUUGCUUUCACUAAGCCUUCUCUCCCUCUCGAAGGAUACCGUUAGCAUGUCUUAUCUGUCCUCACAACUCUUGGUACCAAAUGCCUGAAGUAGUCCUGUGGCCCACUGAUGUGCUUCCCGGUCUACCAAGGAAGUGGUGACAGC